CGCACUAGUCGGGGAGUUAGCGGUGCCCUGUACCUGCAAUCCGCUAAAGCAGGGAUGAAUUCCCACACCCGAGUAAGCUUUUGUGCCGUCUGGCCUGUGUAAGUGGUGUUGAUAGAUCGGUCUUGCGCAACGGGAUCCCGUGAACCAUGUCAGGUGGGGAACCAAGCAGCAUUAAGCGGACCUUCCCGUGUGCCGCUAAGGCCUCCGAUCUUGAGCCGGCUGCACAGAUACCGGA
RNAcentral lists this signal recognition particle RNA (235 nucleotides) under uncultured Faecousia sp. RNAcentral describes it as "Bacterial large signal recognition particle RNA". It matches the Rfam family "Bacterial large signal recognition particle RNA", at positions 2 to 229 of the family's 256-position model. Rfam says of the family: The signal recognition particle (SRP) is a universally conserved ribonucleoprotein involved in the co-translational targeting of proteins to membranes. Lineage: Bacteria; Bacillati; Bacillota; Clostridia; Eubacteriales; Oscillospiraceae. The record is from RNAcentral.